Molecule: RNA transcript, 1794 nt
Organism: Daucus carota subsp. sativus
Lineage: Eukaryota; Viridiplantae; Streptophyta; Magnoliopsida; Apiales; Apiaceae
Exons: 3
Source: RefSeq, a predicted model, not a curated record
UGUCUCUACUAUUUAUCAAAAUAAUUUGAGAAUUUUUAAAGCAACAUAGCUAGAGUGAUCAAUUAAAUAUAUAUUUAUAACUAUAUAUUUUUUUAAAUACAUAGCUAUGUUUUUUUAGAAAUUUCCAGAUUAUUUUGAUAAAUACUAGAGACAAUUAUGAAAGUACUCGAAGUGGUUUUGUAGUAAAAAAAUAAACAGUUGAUUUUUGAUAAAUGAUUAAGUAAGGAGAUAUAAAUAGUGAUGUGGGUAAAAUGAUAUAUAUUUGAUUUAUAGUGGGUUAAACGAGUCUCCGAUGAGAUGGGUGGGUCAAAUGAGAUAUUUUGACGCAACGGGUAGCCAGUUUGAUAUAAAGCCCUUAAAACAAGUUUAUGUUACAGAAGAUGAGUCAGCAGCAGAAAGCUCUCAAAUUAGUGAAGAAUGAUGUAAUUUCGGAACUUCCCGAUGAAAUCAUCUCCCAGUUAAUAUCGUUAUUGCCAUUCAGAGAGGCAGUGAGGACUAGUAUUUUGUCGAAAAGUUGGAUAUCGAGAUGGACUACACACACAGACAUUGUCUGUGAUGCUACGAAUAUACUUGGGUUCUCGGCUAGUGAAUUUGGAGGUCUGGAUAAUCUUGGAUUACAAUAUCACAGGAAUUUAUUUGUUGAGCAUGUGGAUAGUGUGAUGCAGAAGCGUAGCAAAGGACCAAAAAUUAAUUCAACUGUUAUCAACUUUGCUCUAUACCAAGAACACGAAACUCACAUUACUAGCUGGAUUACUGCUGCUAUUAUGAUGGGGGUUACUUUAUGUGGUGUAUCACUUUUUUCAUCUCGGGGGGUUUUGUCAUAUGCUCUAUGCUCCAUCUUCCUUUAGUUAAGGUUUUGAGGGGGGCUGAAUCUUAGACCAUGACCCUUUUCAUGGGGAAGAGGAUGGGCUGAUAGGGUGGACGGUUAGUCUUUGCCACUAGGCUCUAUCCCUGAUUCCAGGGACAGAGCUAGGAUUUGAGUCUAGCGGGGGCAAUAAAAAAUUCUGUUCACAAAACAACUUUGUUAUCACAAGUUGGAUUUGAACUUGUGCCUUCACUAGGAAGGUCCAGCUCCACAACCAUGGGGGCAAAACAACUUUUCUAGUUAACGAUGUAUGAGAUAUAUGCAUAUAUUAUGGAGGUCAGUGGGGGAAAGUACCUCCACUGCUCCCAUGCUGCCUCCGUCCCUGCCUGAUUCAUGUAUACGUAUAUUUUGCUACUAUAACAUAGUUUUUUUUUUGUCGCAGCUGCCAGAAGGAGUUACUUCAUUAAUCAACAUAAAGCAUUUGGUACUCACUGUUUUACCAUUCCAGGAUAAAGACAUGCUUAGUUGGCUUACCUAUAUCUUAAAAGCUGCCCCUUUGCUGACCAACCUCCAAUUAAAUCAAUUCCACUCAAGGUUAAGCAGAAGAUCAGAGCCGGAUGAUAUACUACUACCUGAAGUCACUCAUGUGAAUCUUACAAAAUUAGAGAUAAAUGGAUAUCAGGGCGAGGAGCAUGAGAAAGUGCUCUUAAAGUAUUUGGUUGAUUCUGCAGUUAAGCUUGAUCUCCUCGUGAUCAGUCCACGAAUGAAGUUGUACAGCGGCUUAAAUGAUUGGCGUUAUAUAAAUUCAAAUACUUCUGACAACAGAGUGAGCUUGGAACAGCUUCAAGAACUCCAUUCAAUAGUUCCCAAGGCCGUUCGGGUAAAAUACUGCGAUUGAUGCAUUUAUCUUUGUGCUUGAUGUUUUCAGUUACAUGUGUAAAGAGUAACCAGCAUUUCAGGCAUGUUAACCCCCUUUAUAUACAGAACAA